AAGCCGUUGUUGAAGUCGAGUGAGUCGAGCAGCGCGGCUGCGGAUCGGUUGUUGGCUCACCUCAGUCAGCAUUUCGAGCCUGCAGAAGUUGGAAUACUGGCCAUAUGCUUUUGCAUGCCACUUGUUUCGAUUCGAGUUGGCAAGAUAGACAAGCAAGGGACUCUUCUUUGCCCCACAUCAACAAGGUAAAUGAAGUUCUGAUCUGUAUCGGUUUUCGGAUUCUUGUAUGUGAAUUGUCUGUUGGCUUGUGAGCAGCUUAGUUUGGUUUCUGCUGAUGAGUUGCCAAUGUUUUCCGGUAAUAUACAUAGUUCAGCUGCAGACUAAUUUUAUCAGUGGUGCUCUUUGGUUUACUAUUAGAAUUUUGUUUGUUAUCAAGUGAUUUUCCUUUACGUUUCUCAGUUGCUAUAUGGAUGAUUAUAAUUUUUGGAAGUUUAACAAGCUUAGAAUUGGCUUUAUUAGGAGUUGUAUUGUUUAUGUUCUGAUCUGUCGCAUUUAAGUGGUGCAUUUUCUGUCUUGUAUCUUGUUCCCUUCAUCUGGAGUUUAGUUCUUGUAAGCUUUCAUUUUGUAGUGCGAGUGCGUACUAUGUGUUUUGAUUGAGCAUUUGUUAGUUUUGUGUUUAGAGAACGGUUCUUCGUACGAUUUUUCUACAAUGUUUAAGGAGGAGUAUGCUUGCUGUUUUUCUGUUCCUAGAGUUCCUUAUCCUCAUUAUUUCAAAUUUGCUAGUUUUUAUUGCCAUUUUGUGUGGUGGAGUUCUGUCUUUUGGUUCUUAUUACAGCUAAGCUAUGUAAUGCUAAUUGUGGGCACCUCAUCAGGAGAUCAUGUUGUCAGUCUUCUUUGCAAGCAGCCAGUUUAAAAUAUUCUAGAUGAAAGUAUUUGACACAUAUUGAUAUACCAGUAAGUUUGUGUAAAGUAAACGUCAGAUGCUGGACCGUAACAGUUUUUUUGUUUUCUGAUGUAGUUCUCUUCUUGUUGGAAUUUUUUUGGAUACAUAUGGAUAUAGGUAUUGAUGGCAGUAAUAUUGGCUGAUGGACAGUAGUUUAUGUUUACCCUACUAUUUUCUCUCUUCAUAAUGGGAGAUUUACCCUCUUGACAAUUAUGUCAUA
Molecule: long non-coding RNA, 1103 nt
Organism: Syzygium oleosum
Lineage: Eukaryota; Viridiplantae; Streptophyta; Magnoliopsida; Myrtales; Myrtaceae
Exons: 2
Source: RefSeq, a predicted model, not a curated record